GCUUAACACAUGCAAGUCGAACGGUGAAGCCAAGCUUGCUUGGUGGAUCAGUGGCGAACGGGUGAGUAACACGUGAGCAACCUGCCCUGGACUCUGGGAUAAGCGCUGGAAACGGCGUCUAAUACUGGAUAUGAGCCCUUAUCGCAUGGUGGGGGUUGUAAAGAUUUUUUGGUCUGGGAUGGGCUCGCGGCCUAUCAGCUUGUUGGUGAGGUAAUGGCUCACCAAGGCGUCGACGGGUAGCCGGCCUGAGAGGGUGACCGGCCACACUGGGACUGAGACACGGCCCAGACUCCUACGGGAGGCAGCAGUGGGGAAUAUUGCACAAUGGGCGAAAGCCUGAUGCAGCAACGCCGCGUGAGGGAUGACGGCCUUCGGGUUGUAAACCUCUUUUAGCAGGGAAGAAGCGAAAGUGACGGUACCUGCAGAAAAAGCGCCGGCUAACUACGUGCCAGCAGCCGCGGUAAUACGUAGGGCGCAAGCGUUAUCCGGAAUUAUUGGGCGUAAAGAGCUCGUAGGCGGUUUGUCGCGUCUGCUGUGAAAUCCCGAGGCUCAACCUCGGGCCUGCAGUGGGUACGGGCAGACUAGAGUGCGGUAGGGGAGAUUGGAAUUCCUGGUGUAGCGGUGGAAUGCGCAGAUAUCAGGAGGAACACCGAUGGCGAAGGCAGAUCUCUGGGCCGUAACUGACGCUGAGGAGCGAAAGGGUGGGGAGCAAACAGGCUUAGAUACCCUGGUAGUCCACCCCGUAAACGUUGGGAACUAGUUGUGGGGACCAUUCC
This 776-nucleotide ribosomal RNA is filed under the name Microbacterium aurantiacum. RNAcentral's name for it is "partial 16S ribosomal RNA". It matches the Rfam family "Bacterial small subunit ribosomal RNA", at positions 46 to 835 of the family's 1533-position model. The record is from RNAcentral. Lineage: Bacteria; Bacillati; Actinomycetota; Actinomycetes; Micrococcales; Microbacteriaceae.